UUGAACGCUGGCGGCAUGCCUAACACAUGCAAGUCGAACGGCAGCGCGGGCUUCGGCCUGGCGGCGAGUGGCGGACGGGUGAGGAAUACAUAGGAAUCUGCCCAGUCGUGGGGGAUAACCCGGGGAAACCCGGACUAAUACCGCAUACGACGGUGACGUGAAAGCCGGGGACCUUCGGGCCUGGCGCGAUUGGAUGAGCCUAUGUCGGAUUAGCUAGUUGGCGGGGUAAAGGCCCACCAAGGCGACGAUCCGUAGCUGGUCUGAGAGGAUGAUCAGCCACACUGGGACUGAGACACGGCCCAGACUCCUACGGGAGGCAGCAAUGGGGAAUAUUGGACAAUGGGCGCAAGCCUGAUCCAGCAAUGCCGCGUGGGUGAAGAAGGCCUUCGGGUUGUAAAGCCCUUUUGUACGGGAAGAAAUCAUCCGGGUUAAUACCCUGGGUGGAUGACGGUACCGUAAGAAUAAGCACCGGCUAACUUCGUGC
RNAcentral lists this ribosomal RNA (484 nucleotides) under uncultured bacterium. Its description in RNAcentral is "bacterial SSU rRNA". It matches the Rfam family "Bacterial small subunit ribosomal RNA", at positions 29 to 508 of the family's 1533-position model. The record is from RNAcentral.